AUGGAUUUGGCGUCGGUCAACGAGGAGCUCGCCGAGAUCGACGGGCAGAUCGCCGACAUCUUCCGCGCAUUGCAAAAUGGGUUCCAGAAGCUCGACAAGAUCAAGGAUGCCAACCGCCGGAGCAGGCAGCUCGAAGAGCUCACUGACAAGAUGCGAGAUUGCAAAAGGCUUAUCAAAGACUUCGAACGAGUUGUCAAAGAUGAGGCAGGCAGUGUUGAUCCCAACACUGCUAAAUUUCUGAACGAGAGAAAGCAGUCGCUGAUCAAGGAAUUGAACUCUUAUGUUGCUCUGAAGAAACAACAUGCAAGUGAAAAUAAGCGAGUUGAUCUUUUUGAUGCCCCAAGUGGUGAAGAUGCCUUUGGUGAAGAAAAUGUCCUGUUAGCAUCAAAUAUGUCAAACCAGCAGCUAAUGCAGCAUGGAGACAAUCUAAUGGAUGAGACUGAUCAAGCUCUCGCACGAUCUAAACAGACUGUCCAAGAGACGAUCAAUGUGGGUACAGAAACUGCAGCUGCUCUCAAAGCACAGACAGAGCAAAUGAGCAGGGUUGUUAAUGAGCUGGAUUCCAUUCAUUUCUCCAUGAAAAAGGCAUCAAAAUUGGUGAAAGAAAUUGGUAGGCAGGUUGCAACUGACCGCUGCAUCAUGGGAUUGCUUUUUCUCAUUGUCGCUGGAGUCAUAGCUGUAAUAAUUGUUAAGAUUGUGAACCCACACAACAAGGACAUUCCUGACCUCCCCGGGCUCGCUCCACCGGUCGGCAGAAGGCUGUUGUCCAUUGCAGAGGGCAAGUGA
RNAcentral lists this ribosomal RNA (786 nucleotides) under Triticum aestivum (bread wheat). RNAcentral's name for it is "partial small subunit ribosomal RNA". Lineage: Eukaryota; Viridiplantae; Streptophyta; Magnoliopsida; Poales; Poaceae. The record is from RNAcentral.